Molecule: long non-coding RNA, 1370 nt
Filed under: Mus spicilegus (steppe mouse)
Lineage: Eukaryota; Metazoa; Chordata; Mammalia; Rodentia; Muridae
Description: lncRNA (ENSMSIG00000020984.1)
Source: RNAcentral
GGUAAAUCUCAUCUGUAGAAUAUGGGCAAUGGUUCUGCUGCCCAGCUGGGUGGCUGUUCAGCUCUGUAGCCACGGUGAACAGAUACAUAUCACCAUUUUGCUGUUGUGGAGCCUGAAGAUCGAAUGGGGUGUACAAAUGUGUACACACGCCCCUCUGAAACUGUGAGAGGUAUAUUGAGCCCUCUAGUGCUUCCAGAGUUUCCAGAAUGCAAAUGCCUACCCCACCAUAAGAAGCAGAGAGAAGCCAGGAAGAGUGUGACUGCAGGGAGCUGAACUCAAAGAAAGAUUCUCAUCAUUACUGAAAGAAAUGGCUUCGAGAAGGGCAAGAGGAAAACAGCAGAGGGAGGAGGCUGAGCGGAGUUGCUGCCAGGAGAGCGUCCAAAGUGAUGGCAGCUGACGCGAGAGCUGUAUUUCAGGAUCUUUCACCCACUUGCACAUUUGUCACUUGGAGAUGCUAACAAAGGCCCACAGUGGAGAUCUGCUGUCUUGCCAUUGAGCCUCUCUAUGAAGGCAUGGCAAUUAAACAAAAAAGCCAGAAGCAUGAGAAACCAAACAACAGGAGGCUGACUGUAUGGUGGAGGUCAGUGCACAUUAGUGAACUCACUUGAUGCCAUUCCAGAACAUUCUCAUUUUCCUCUUGGCAUAGAGCUUACUCUGAGGAUCCCCAUUAUCUGGGACAGCAGCAACCAUCAGUAUCUGCCCUGCUUGGCCUCUACUGUCAGGGACCUGUUCUGUUCAAGUAAUGAUGAUAAACUCACUCAACAAGUUCCAGAGGCUGUAAAUAAUGGACCCAGUGGCCCUUCUUCAGAUGACAGUGAACCGAAGCAGCACUUUCGAGUCUCCUUUACAAGAAACAAGGGGUGUCACAGGAUGACUGAUGAAGAUAAUUUGGACCAAUGACCAAAGGUCACUAUGCUAUUAUCUGGCAGUGCCAGCCUCAAUGUCUGUCUUAAAGCCAUGCUAAACAGUACAUCAGACCAGACUUAGAAGGUUUUCUCAGCGUGGCUUGUCCAUUCAAAGCUUCCCACAGAAAGAGCCUUAAUGGACAGAUUCUUCUGGUAUCACAGGAGCCUGGAAGAGACCAUAGAAACCAACCCUUCAAUACCUGUUUCUCUAGCAAUCAAGGCAAAGAUGCUGUCUGCUUAGCAGAUGAGGGUCCUGCAUGGCAGAAUUGCCUGUGGCAUCUCCUUUGCUGUGCCCAAGCUCAGAAGCAAAAUGGCUUUGAGGUUAUAGGCAUCUGUUACAAAGUUCAACCAAUGUGGAUUAUUUUUCUCUUGAUUUUUUUUUUUUUGAUAGAAGAGAUCCAAUCAUUUUGGUCUGCUUUGCAGGGAGUGAGAGGAAGGUAAGCUUUGGGUGUGAAUAUGUGUGAG